Molecule: long non-coding RNA, 836 nt
Organism: Manis pentadactyla (Chinese pangolin)
Lineage: Eukaryota; Metazoa; Chordata; Mammalia; Pholidota; Manidae
Exons: 3
Source: RefSeq, a predicted model, not a curated record
GUCUAUCCUUCCACACGCAGGGCUAGAAGCCAAAGCUUUCAGACAAAUUGGACAACAUAUUAGCAAGUUACCAAGUAAUCGCUCCAGGGAUUCAAGGGACAGUAUGGUCGAGCCCCAGGAUGGAAGUUCAAAAACUGAAAAGCUUUCUUGGAUUUUCAAGAAGCUGGGGAUCUAAGAUUCUGAAGUUUCCACGAAGAGGUCACCAUCAUCUGAUAUUUCAGAAGGACUCUGGAGUUGGCCCAAAGGACUGUUGAAAGAUCCAAGCCGUUGCAAAUUGAUUUGGUGUGGGAAGAUUCUCCUGAGGAAUGAAGAAAACCAGGGCCAUGUCACUUAGGGCAGCAAACCCCAUCGGCUUGACUGAGCAGCCAUUACCGAGGAGGCGACAGAGCCCGAGCAACUUACAGACCCGACAGGCAGGGCAGUGCUUUGUCAACUGGGCACAACACGUCCAUCUCGUGCAGUAACCAAUGGCAUCUUAAGCACAUGCAACAAAAGUGGGAAUAGAGGAAAAAAGAUGGGCUGCAAAGACAGAACAGACUCAGCAUGCGACUCACGGCAAGUGGAGGAAGAGAAGGAAGUGGGACCAACUAAUGAUGAUUCAAAGAUUUCAAGUUGGUGGUGAAAGCAGUGGUGGUGACUUACACAGAAAUAAGGAACAGAUAAGGAGGCAAAAGCUUGAAAGAGAACUUCAACAUUCAUUCUAAAGAAGAAACUAAACUAUUGAGCACAUUGAUAGCUUUAUGUGCAAGCCCACAAAUUAAUUUGAAACAUCAAAAAAAAAUUUGGUGGACCAAUGAUGGUUAAUCAACUCUCUUCAAAUAAAUUGAUUUCUGAAU